CCUACGGGUGGCAGCAGUGGGGAAUAUUGCACAAUGGGGGGAACCCUGAUGCAGCGACGCCGCGUGGGUGAAGGAGUAUUUCGGUAUGUAAAGCCCUAUCAGCAGGGAAGAACAAUGACGGUACCUGACUAAGAAGCACCGGCUAAAUACGUGCCAGCAGCCGCGGUAAUACGUAGGGUGCAAGCGUUAUCCGGAUUGACUGGGUGUAAAGGGAGCGCAGGCGGCGCGUUAAGCCUGGUGUGAAUGCCCGCGGCCCAACCACGGAACUGCAUUGGAAACUGGCGAGCUGGAGUGCGGGAGGGGUAGGCGGAAUUCCUGGUGUAGCGGUAAAAUGCGUAGAUAUUAGGAGGAACACCAGUGGCGAAGGCGGCCUACUGGACCGUAACUGACGCUGAGGCGCGAAAGCGUGGGGAGCAAACAGGAUUAGAUACCCUUGUAGUC
This 441-nucleotide ribosomal RNA is filed under the name uncultured bacterium. RNAcentral's name for it is "partial 16S ribosomal RNA". It matches the Rfam family "Bacterial small subunit ribosomal RNA", at positions 338 to 795 of the family's 1533-position model. The record is from RNAcentral.